UGGUGGUCCAGAGUCCUCUGUGUCUUUGUAGUGUGGAACCAGGUGGCUGUACAGAGAAGAGGCCAAAGGAGCAGGGGGAGGGGUUCAGUGGAUUGCUGCUGGGGCGCGGGCUGAUUCGGUGUUUUCAGCGUGACUGGGGACCUCAGGACUGGGUCCGCAGACCUGCCUGUCUGCAGUGGGCUGAUUCAGUGUUUUCAGUGCGACUCGCUCCAACUCUUAAUAGGAUGCUGGAAGAGAAUGAAGAAGGCUGUGAAGUCUGAGUCCCUCCUUAGGAGUGCUGAGUAAGAGUUUCAUGUGAGAAGAUGAGAUAACAGCUUCUAGUACCCGAAGGAGGAAAUUAGGACACAAGUGCACACAGGGGAAGACCACAUGAAGACACAGAGGUGAGAAGAAGCCGUCUGCAAGCCAAUGAGCGAGACCUUACAAGAAGCCAACCCUGCUGACAACAUGAAUCAGUCUAGAUUUGGAAUUGUGAAAAAUACAUUUCUGUUGUUUAAGCCCCUCAGUGUGUGGUACUUCUUAAUAGUAACCCUGGCUAACUAAUUCCUGGGACAGAAAAAUAAUUAAGGAAUAUGGCUAGGUUUUAACUUGAGAAGCUGAAUAUUUAGGGAUCUCAUUACCAGCAUGAGUAACACUGAGUAAGUGUAUUAGUCAGUUUUCCCAUUGCUGGACAAAAGUACCUGGCACUUGCAAUUUAAAGGAGGAAGUGGUUUAUUUAGCUCACAGUUUCAGAGGUUUCAGUCCAUGGCUGGCUGACUCCAAGGCAGAAACAUCGUGGCAGAAAAGCAUGGCACAGCAAAACUCCUCAAUUCUUCACUGCCUGGAAGCAGAGACAGGGGAACAGCUCCAGCAAAAGAAUUACCCUCCGGAGCCAUGCCCUCAGUGACCCACUUCCAACUUGGCCCAACCUCGUAAUAACAUAUUUACCUAGGAAUAUCAGUGGAUUAAGCCACUGAUCAGUACAGUGCCCCUUGGUCCAAACACCAUUCCUGUAGUUGAUAUAGGGGGAAGAGCUGUAACUCCCAAACCUACUAGAUAUCUGAAACAUGAGUUUGUGUUCUCUAAAAUCGAACAAUGAGUUCUAGGAACAAAGGAGGUUAAGAGUAGGAAAUUUUUUUUUUUUGGUACCGGGGAUCAACCUCGGGACCUUGCGCCUGCAAUGCAGGCAGCAGAACCACUGAGCUAAAUCCCCGGCCCAAGAGUAGGAAAAAUUUAUUGGGAGAAAGCUUCUUCCUAAGAGAGACAGAAGGGGGACCAGAAAGUGGGUUGCCUACCCACCCCACAUUUCAAAGAUGUUUUAUACAGCCAUGCCAUGUGGUGAGGCGGGUACAAAGUGGGACAAAACUAUAAGAUCCAGUGGAAAUUUACAAAGUGGGCAUGAGGUGGAACAAAACCAUGACCAACCAAUAAGAUUACAAGUACAGUCACCCAGGUAAUAUUGAUUAAAUGGGAUCAAAUGGGAAGACAAGUCACAUAAAAGGAAUUUCCCAUUUAGAAUAUCAACCACUGCUAGCUAUCUCUGGGGGAAGUAUUGGCUCUUCUUUUUAUAAUGGUAACCAGGGAAUGUGCCUCAAUUUUUCUCCAUGUUGUGUCCUUGCUGUGUUGGCUCCUGGAGGGCUGGUCCUGUCUAACUACACACAAGACAUCUAAUUAACUUACCUAUCUACAAUAGUCUCUUAGUCCAGUCAAGUUGGCAAUUAUGAUGAGAAAUGGAAAAAAUGGAAAUAAAGUCUUUGUAAAUAGGGAAGGGUGGAGAGCGUGAAGGGAGGGCUAGGAAUGGGGAAAAAAUAAGAACCAAGG
Molecule: long non-coding RNA, 1800 nt
Organism: Heterocephalus glaber (naked mole-rat)
Lineage: Eukaryota; Metazoa; Chordata; Mammalia; Rodentia; Bathyergidae
Source: Ensembl